RNAcentral lists this long non-coding RNA (546 nucleotides) under Panax ginseng (ginseng). RNAcentral describes it as "long non-coding RNA (PGIN_LNC002358)". The record is from RNAcentral. Lineage: Eukaryota; Viridiplantae; Streptophyta; Magnoliopsida; Apiales; Araliaceae.
AAUUCUCCAACUGGUGAGGAUUGAGGAGGACCUGAGUUCACUCAAAUAGCUCUUUCAGCACUAUAAAUACCCUAGAGAUCAAAGAGAUUUUAGCAUCUUGCUUCCCUCUAUUGCUUAUCGAUCUGCCAUUAAUUCGAUCCCUCCCUUUCUCUGCCUACCUCUCUCUCUCCAUGGCUCAAACACAGUUACUCCUUGCUACUCUUUUCAUUGUACUGACUCUCUCCCUUGAGAUUGCAUCCACAGAGGGGAGGCAUUUGAAAUUCGAAAAGAAAGAUGAUGUCCCAAAACACAACUCCCACUCCAAAGUCUAUGAAAAAGAGCCAAAACAGAUUGUUAGUAAGAGCGUAAAUAAAACAGCAUAUGCCAAUGAAGCUGUGCCAUCAGCACCUAUGACACCAAUGCCACCAAGUCAGGCUUUAGGCAAGCCACCACCACCACCACCAGCUCACGCGGUUGAUUUUAGACCCACAACACCAGGCCACAGCCCAGGAGUAGGACAUUCCAUUCAAAACUAGAGCCAGGGAAACCUUGUUUGUAAACAUGCCC